RNAcentral lists this ribosomal RNA (391 nucleotides) under uncultured Glomeromycotina. Its description in RNAcentral is "SSU rRNA". It matches the Rfam family "Eukaryotic small subunit ribosomal RNA", at positions 569 to 968 of the family's 1831-position model. The record is from RNAcentral. Lineage: Eukaryota; Fungi; Glomeromycota.
AGCAGCCGCGGUAAUUCCAGCUCCAAUAGCGUAUAUUAAAGUUGCUGCAGUUAAAAAGCUCGUAGUUGAAUUUCGGGACCAUCAUGUCGGUCGUGCCUCGGUACGUACUGGCGUCAUUGAUUUCUCCCUUCUGACGAACCAUGAUGUCAUUAAUUUGGUGUUGUGGGAAAUCAGGACUGUUACUUUGAAAAAAUUGAGUGUUUAAAGCAGGCUCACGCUUGAAUACAUUAGCAUGGAAUAAUGAAAUAGGACGUUCGAUCCUAUUUUGUGGUUUUAGGAUCAACGUAAUGAUUAAUAGGGAUAGUUGGGGGCAUUAGUAUUCAAUUGUCAGAGGUGAAAUUCUUGGAUUUAUUGAAGACUAACUACUGCGAAAGCAUUUGCCAAGGAUGUU